CUUAGAGGGACAAGUGGCGUUCAGCCACCCGAGAUGAGCAAUAACAGG
Molecule: ribosomal RNA, 48 nt
Filed under: Uromastyx aegyptia microlepis
Lineage: Eukaryota; Metazoa; Chordata; Lepidosauria; Squamata; Agamidae
Description: partial 18S rRNA
Source: RNAcentral